AGGAAUGUAGCCAAGUGGAACGGCAUCGUGUUUUGCCCCGAGUAAUGUUGGUUCGAGUCCAGCCAUUCCUA
RNAcentral lists this transfer RNA (71 nucleotides) under Caudoviricetes sp. RNAcentral describes it as "tRNA-OTHER". It matches the Rfam family "tRNA". Rfam says of the family: Transfer RNA (tRNA) molecules are approximately 80 nucleotides in length. Their secondary structure includes four short double-helical elements and three loops (D, anti-codon, and T loops). Lineage: Duplodnaviria; Heunggongvirae; Uroviricota; Caudoviricetes. The record is from RNAcentral.